This 468-nucleotide ribosomal RNA is filed under the name uncultured bacterium. RNAcentral describes it as "partial 16S ribosomal RNA". It matches the Rfam family "Bacterial small subunit ribosomal RNA", at positions 28 to 507 of the family's 1533-position model. The record is from RNAcentral.
GACGAACGCUGGCGGCGUGCUUAACACAUGCAAGUCGAACGGAAAGGCCCUGCUUUUGUGGGGUGCUCGAGUGGCGAACGGGUGAGUAACACGUGAGUAACCUGCCCUUGACUUUGGGAUAACUUCAGGAAACUGGGGCUAAUACAGGAUAGGAGCUCCUGCUGCAUGGCGGGGGUUGGAAAGUUUCGGCGGUUGGGGUUGGACUCGCGGCUUAUCAGCCUUUUGGUGGGGUAGCGGCUUACCAAGGCUUUGACGGGUAGCCGGCCUGAGAGGGUGACCGGCCACGUUGGGACUGGGAUACGGCCCAGACUCCUACGCGAGGCAGCGGUGGGGAUUAUUGCACAAUGGGCGGGAGCCUGAUGCAGCAACGCCGCGUGCGGGAUGACGGCCUUCGGGUUGUAUUCCGCUUUCGCCUGUGACGAAGCGUGAGUGACGGUAAUGGGUAAAGAAGCACCGGCUAACUACGUG